AUUGAACGCUGGCGGCAGGCUUAACACAUGCAAGUCGAGCGGGGAAUGGUAGCUUGCUACCUGACUUAGCGGCGGACGGGUGAGUAAUGCUUAGGAAUCUGCCUAUUAGUGGGGGACAACAUUCCGAAAGGAAUGCUAAUACCGCAUACGCCCUACGGGGGAAAGCAGGGGAUCUUCGGACCUUGCGCUAAUAGAUGAGCCUAAGUCAGAUUAGCUAGUUGGUGGGGUAAAGGCCUACCAAGGCGACGAUCUGUAACGGGUCUGAGAGGAUGAUCCGCCACACUGGGACUGAGACACGGCCCAGACUCCUACGGGAGGCAGCAGUGGGGAAUAUUGGACAAUGGGCGAAAGCCUGAUCCAGCCAUGCCGCGUGUGUGAAGAAGGCCUUUUGGUUGUAAAGCACUUUAAGCGAGGAGGAGGCUACUUGGAUUAAUACUCUAGGAUAGUGGACGUUACUCGCAGAAUAAGCACCGGCUAACUCUGUGCCAGCCGCCGCCGUAA
RNAcentral lists this ribosomal RNA (501 nucleotides) under uncultured bacterium. RNAcentral's name for it is "partial 16S ribosomal RNA". It matches the Rfam family "Bacterial small subunit ribosomal RNA", at positions 30 to 523 of the family's 1533-position model. The record is from RNAcentral.